UACGUAGGGGGCAAGCGUUGUCCGGAAUCAUUGGGCGUAAAGAGCGUGUAGGCGGCCCGAUAAGUCCGCUGUAAAAGUCCAGGGCUCAACCCUGGAAAGCCGGUGGAUACUGUCGGGCUAGAGUCCGGAAGAGGCGAGUGGAAUUCCUGGUGUAGCGGUGAAAUGCGCAGAUAUCAGGAGGAACACCAAUGGCGAAGGCAGCUCGCUGGGACGUGACUGACGCUGAGACGCGAAAGCGUGGGGAGCAAACAGG
Molecule: ribosomal RNA, 253 nt
Filed under: uncultured bacterium
Lineage: Bacteria
Description: partial 16S ribosomal RNA
Rfam family: Bacterial small subunit ribosomal RNA
Source: RNAcentral